Drosophila willistoni is the source of this 623-nucleotide long non-coding RNA. RefSeq lists it as uncharacterized. The transcript is spliced from 2 exons. Lineage: Eukaryota; Metazoa; Arthropoda; Insecta; Diptera; Drosophilidae. The record is from RefSeq and is a predicted model, not a curated record.
UUAAAAACCCCAUUCAAAUUAAGAUCAAUCUAACAAUUGAAGACGAAAGUUACAGUUCAUUAAAUUCAUAUUUGAUAUCUUUUUAUAAAUGUUAAGAAAUUACCAUGUAGAUUAAUUGACCUCGUCAAAGUUUAAUAAGAACCACACUAAAACCAUUUGGCUGUCACUACAGAUACAUGGCGGAACGCAAAAAGGAAGCAAAGAGGCACAGACAAAUCAAUAAAAAUAUUGGCGAACUAUGCGAAGCGGGUCGAGCGCUCAUCGAUUUAUUUAUGUGCCAACGAGAAAGAACUCAAGAACCCGACACCAGAGAAACACACUGAGAAACAGAGAGAGAAAAAGAGAGAGAAAGACAAAAAUACAAGCUUGAGUGCUUUUUGCAUAAGCUGCGCCCAUAAACCACUCAUUUAUUGCCGCUUCAUCAUCAAGUCGCCGCUGCUGGAAACACUUCGCCACCGACGACAGCGGCGGCAAAGGCAACGGCAACGGCAACAUUCAAAAUUUUAUAUAGGUCAUUCCAUUGGGAAUAUGGGCAUGAGAAUGGGAAUUGAAUGGGCCUGAAGCAGCUGUGCCGCUUAGAUUCCGACUCAAUUAUAUAAUCACCGAGAGCAUUGCACAUCAAA